RNAcentral lists this ribosomal RNA (239 nucleotides) under uncultured bacterium. RNAcentral describes it as "partial 16S ribosomal RNA". It matches the Rfam family "Bacterial small subunit ribosomal RNA", at positions 116 to 354 of the family's 1533-position model. The record is from RNAcentral.
CGUGAGUAACCUGCCUUGGAGUGGGGAAUAACAGCUGGAAACAGCUGCUAAUACCGCAUAAUGCAGUUGGGUCGCAUGGCUCUGACUGCCAAAGAUUUAUCGCUCUGAGAUGGACUCGCGUCUGAUUAGCUAGUUGGUGGGGCAACGGCCCACCAAGGCGACGAUCAGUUGCCGGACUGAGAGGUUGGCCGGCCACAUUGGGACUGAGACACGGCCCAGACUCCUACGGAAGGCAGCAG